AGCAUCUGGUUUCACUUCACAACGCGUAAAUCUUUCGCCUUUUACUAAAGAUUUCCGAUGGUGUCAUCCUCAAACAGAAUGACUUACGCAAAUAUCGUCAACGUCAACAAAGGGUUUG
Small nuclear RNA from Physella acuta, 118 nucleotides. RefSeq annotates it as U5 spliceosomal RNA. The record is from RefSeq and is a predicted model, not a curated record. Lineage: Eukaryota; Metazoa; Mollusca; Gastropoda; Physidae.